Pezoporus flaviventris is the source of this 2618-nucleotide long non-coding RNA. RefSeq lists it as uncharacterized. NCBI's taxonomy places the organism in Eukaryota, Metazoa, Chordata, Aves, Psittaciformes, Psittacidae. The record is from RefSeq and is a predicted model, not a curated record. The transcript has 2 exons.
CUCCACCGGCAUCCCGUAUAAAGUCUUCUCCCGGGUCUCUGUCCUCGGGUCUGAUCCAGAGGCUUAGUCCGGCGGAUCCACUGACCUGAACCCGUAGGUCAGAGUAGAGAGGGGCAUAGACGAGGAGGGAAAUAACCCCUGCCUGCGACCACAGUUGAGAGCCUUGCGUUUAUGGGUCAGCGAGGACGUGUGGUUUAUUGAUGCAUCCGAAGGCGUUUGAGCUACGAGGCAUAAGGCAGCGUUUGGAGACACGGGAGGCUGGCAGGCAGGUAGUUGGUCGCAGGGGUCCAAGUAGACGCAGAAGCCGCCGGCCUACAGGCAGAGGGAGUUGUUGGGUAGCACACACAGGUCUCUAGCGUUUGCCUGCCUUGAGGACCACUAUGUUUAAAAGGCAAUCAAAAUUACGAACCGUCAUUCUAGAGGAGAGAAUGGUAACAGCAGCUGUCAUAGGAGUACCGUAAACUGCCUGAAGUAAGCCACAGCUCUAGGUUUUAGAAGUAGAUAUAAAUAUUUCAGAAUUGCUUCUCCUGUUGUCUGUGGCCUUCUUGAGGAAGAAUCAUCAAAUCACUUUUCUAUUUUCAUCCUUCUUUCAUUUUUCCAAGCCCUAGCAAGAAUUAAAGAAUGAAUGAAGCUGAUUUCCCCCCCCCCCCUUUUUUUUUUAUAGUUAGUUUUGCUAUCAAGCUCUUAUUUUCUAGUGACUUGGGUGCUGAUGGAGAUACUUGGUUUUUAAACAGAUUGAAAUUAAAUGAAAAGGGCUUGAAAAAUUAGUCGGUAAUUGUACUGUAUUAAAAUCCUAUUGAAGUAAUAGACUGUCUCUGUGUGAGAAACAACUUGAGUUGUAGUAGUAGUCCAACAGCUCAACCCUGCUAACAGUUAUAAUGCAUUAAAAAUGAGCUGAAAAUAGGAGAUGCAGCUAUGUUGUGUUCCAGUUACUUUCUAAGGUUAUGUAACUUUCAGUGGCAAUACACUUCAUAUUGCUUCGAGCACCUGGAGGUGUGGUGGGAAUGGCACCUUUCUUGGGAUUUACCCUAUGUAUUUUCAUCCAAGUUCUCUCCAGGUGUGCUUAGGAAAGCGCAUAUAAUCACUUCUGUGUGGUGUCAUCAGUUGCGUGUACUAAUAAUAUUUUCUCAAAUAAGUUUUUGUGACCAUGAAGUACAUGUUUUAAAACAGUAGUUAGGUGGAUGACAAAGGUAGAUGCAUAACCCCAUGCAAGACCCAGAGGUAGCUGAACCAUUUCUGUCUUUGUUUCGAUGCCAAAGAAUCUCUCCAGACAUUUAAUUUUGUUCAAAGUCUUAUAUAUCCUUAACACCAGAAUAAAAAUUUUUUUUAACUAAUUCUUUAUUUUCCUUGCCAGGAGCUGCCGCAGGGAAAAAUGCAGAUUACUUAAAAUAGUAGCAAAUUAAUUCGAGGUUAAUCAUCUCGGCAUAAACUGUGUUAUCUUAACCAUGGAUGAAAGCAUGCACUGUUACUGCAGCAUAGCUGGGGCUUUUAAAAUUUAAAUUCCUAAGGCAAAGAAUGGAAGAAUUAUCUUGAAAUUGAAUAAAUACUUAUAUCCAUGAGGGAAGAAAAGUUUUUCUUAAGUUUUAUAAAAAAAAUACCCAGAAAUAUUGAGGUGCUUGGACUUGGUGUUUUAUAGAUGUGGUAGGUAUACAUAGACUUUUAAUAGAUUGAAAAUAUAGCCCAAGUUUUUGCUAACUGAAUCGCAACCGCUGAAAAAUAUAAUUUAGCUUCAGUUAAUAUGGUUAUGAAGAUGUCAAAAGCUAACUCUUUGGAAAUGUGUGACUGCUGUGGAAGAAAACGGCAAAUUCAUGGAUGGAUAUGUUUAAUGUGUUCUGUUGGCUAAAUAUCAGGCAGUUGCAAAGAGAGAAAAGGUAGUAUGAGGCACUAAGGCUGGAACGUAUACAGAAAAAUCAAACUUGCCCUUACCAGUGUAAGCAAAUGAUUGUGUGGAACUUUGUGAUAAUAAAGGAACAAGUAAAGGUAUUGUAAAAUAAAAGAUAACCAGACAUAGUGUUUUAUAAAUAUUCUGUGAAUUCUGAUAUGUGCAGUGUGUUUUCUUCUGUUUUGUGAACUUCUUACUUUUUCCAGUGUAUGUAAUACUCUUAAAAUACCUUGUCUAUAUAGUUAAUGUUUGUUGGUUGUUUUUUUUUUUUUCCUUCAGUAAGCCCCUUAGUAAUCCUGGAUUGCCCUAUUUGAGGAGGGUUGAUCCAAUCAAAGGUGAGAUAGGACAGCUAGAUGAUGGCUGACAGCAGCAGUUUCUGGUUUGCCCUCCUCCUUCCCAAACAGUGAUUUCAUACUUACUCUCAAGUUUUUCUGAAGCACAGUUGGAAGAAUACAGAUAGAUUCCACAUCCCUUUUUGUUUUCACUGGUAUAAAAGAAGUUAUCUUAAAUGAAAACCCUUUAUCUGAUCCCUAGGUUGGCUAAUUACCUUGGAAAAAUACUGUUCUGAUUUCCUGAAAUGUCCUCUGCCUCUAACCCCCAGCUUUUUGAUAGUUUUAAUGUCAACUCUGUGCUUAAGAGAUUUUAAAUCUUACAGAAAAGCAGUGUUUCCUCAUACAGAUGAGUUUGAUCUAUUGUAAAUAAAUGCCUGUGAACUCAUUUAAAAAAAAAGGAAAAA